RNAcentral lists this ribosomal RNA (301 nucleotides) under uncultured bacterium. Its description in RNAcentral is "partial 16S ribosomal RNA". It matches the Rfam family "Bacterial small subunit ribosomal RNA", at positions 509 to 807 of the family's 1533-position model. The record is from RNAcentral.
CAGUCGCCACGGUAAUACGUAGGGAGCAAGCGUUGUUCGGAUUUACUGGGCGUAAAGGGCGCGUAGGCGGCGCGGUAAGUCACUUGUGAAAUCUCUGAGCUUAACUCAGAACGGCCAAGUGAUACUGCUGUGCUAGAGUGCGGAAGAGGCAACCGGAAUUCUUGGUGUAGCGGCGAAAUGCGUAGAUAUCAAGAGGAACACCUGAGGCGAAGGCGGGUUGCUGGGCCGACACUGACGCCGAUGCGCGAAAGCCAGGGGAGCAAACGGGAUUAGAUACCCGAGUAGUCCCUGUCUCUUAUAC